GCGCAGCAGGCGCGAAACUUUACAAUGUGCGAAAGCACGAUAAGGGAACUCUGAGUGCCUCCUAAGGAGGCUGUUCAGGUGUCUAAAAGCACCUGAAGGAAGGGCUGGGUAAGACCGGUGCCAGCCGCCGCGGUAACACCGGCAGCCCAAGUGGUAGCCACGUUUAUUGGGUCUAAAGCGUCCGUAGCCGGCUGGGUAAGUUCCUUGGGAAAUUUGGCUGCUUAACAGUCAAGCUUUCAGGGAAUACUGCCCGGCUUGGGACCGGGAGAGGUCAGAGGUACUCCAGGGGUAGGGGUGAAAUCCAUUAAUCCUUGGGGGACCACCGGUAGCGAAGGCGUCUGACCAGACCGGGUCCGACGGUGAGGGACGAAGGCUAGGGGCGCGAACCGGAUUAGAUACCCGUGUAGU
This 408-nucleotide ribosomal RNA is filed under the name uncultured microorganism. RNAcentral describes it as "bacterial SSU rRNA". It matches the Rfam family "Archaeal small subunit ribosomal RNA", at positions 330 to 745 of the family's 1478-position model. The record is from RNAcentral.